UGUGGGAGCGGGCUUGCCCGCGAUGGCGGCGUGUCAGUCGCUAUCUACUUUUCUGAUACACCGCCAUCGCGGGCAAGCCCGCUCCCACA
This 89-nucleotide unclassified non-coding RNA is filed under the name Pseudomonas arsenicoxydans. The record is from RNAcentral. Lineage: Bacteria; Pseudomonadati; Pseudomonadota; Gammaproteobacteria; Pseudomonadales; Pseudomonadaceae.